This is a long non-coding RNA of Neolamprologus brichardi, 418 nucleotides long. RefSeq lists it as uncharacterized. NCBI's taxonomy places the organism in Eukaryota, Metazoa, Chordata, Actinopteri, Cichliformes, Cichlidae. The record is from RefSeq and is a predicted model, not a curated record.
UGCAAACUGAAAGCAAAAACCUCUUUUUUCUGAAAGCCUCCAAGACAGUUGAUGGUGUGUGUGUUUUAGGCGUGACUCCAAAGCGUGUCCUCCAGUGCCCUAGCUGUCUCCCACCUCUGCAAACUCAAAGAUAAGCUCAUUGGACUACCAUGGCUUUAGUAAAGACGGUAAACCCAACGCCAAAAUGUUGGACUUACACAACGGAGCAGGCGUAACAUCCCUGUUUGCUGCUCUCGCGGAUCAGAAAUGUUCCAGGGACUUUGCCUUGAAGCAUCUCCUCUGCCUGCGUCCGACUCAGUUCACCAACAAACCAGCUCGUCUCAUCCUGAUGUGGCAAAUUCUUCUCAUCUCCCUUUAGCACAUACGUACUGAAAGAAAGAGGGUGGUUGUCAUGUCUCUUUCAAUUCUGUCUUCCAAU